RNAcentral lists this long non-coding RNA (1184 nucleotides) under Homo sapiens (human). Its description in RNAcentral is "HSALNT0321379". The record is from RNAcentral. Lineage: Eukaryota; Metazoa; Chordata; Mammalia; Primates; Hominidae.
CCUUUCCCUGUCCCACUUCCUCCUCCAUCUCCCUCUCUGCCUUUCUUCCUCUCUCUCCCUCUCUCCAUCACCAGAGCACACAGCAAGAAGCCAGACAUCUGUAAGCCAGGAAGACAGGCCUCCUCAGAGACCCCACAGGACCUAGAUCUGGACGACUUCCAGCCUCCAGAACUAAAUUAAGAGCUGAUGGAGUCCACCAAAUCCAGAGCCUCCCCCAAAGAAGAAGAAAUGGGACCCAGGAAGGAGGAAGGAGAAACAAAAGGAAUUCACAGGAUGAUGCUGAGGGGAAGCUUCAGGAAAGCAAUUUCUAAGGCCAGAGACCACCAGUCCAGAGGGAGAACUGAGAACUCCCGCAGGAUGCCACCAAGAAAACAAACAAAAAGAAUCCUACAGAAACAAUCUGCUUACAGACACAGCAUGACUACUUUGUUUCAACAACAGAAAGCAGGAAGAGAUUUGAUAUUGUCUAUCCUGCAAACGAAAACAUUUUUUAAGUAAUCAGCCCUUCACAUUUUAGCUGGGCAUAUGGCUGCCUAGCUAAAGACUACGUUUCCCAGCCUCCCUGAAGCUGGAUGCGGACACGGGACUAAUUUUGGCCAACGGAUUGUGGACAGACAUUGACAUAUAGGACUUCUGGUUUGUGCACUGAAAAGUAAAGAGCAGGUUUCCCACUGCUUCUUUCAGAGUCCCCACAGAUUGGAAAAUAAAAACAGUCAUCUUAGACAAUAAAACGAAAGCCUCAGAUCAAAUACAGAAGACAUUAGGAUCCUGGGUUCCUGAUACUGUCAAGCUUCCAGGCCACCCCUGAUCAUUUACCCAGACUUACAAGAGGGGAUAUAAACUUCUAUCUUGAUUGUCAUUGUAUUUUUAGACUAUCCGUUACCUCAGAAAAAUCUGUAUCCUAUCUAAUAAAGUUUCACCUAACACUUUCCUGAAAUAUAAUUCAGGGGCUCUUGACAACAUACUAAAUUUGCCAGACACCUUUUUUCCAAAGAGUCCAAUUCCCUUUCCAUAAUUUUACAUCACUUUUCUUCACAGUGUCUCUGAUGUAAUUUAAUAACAAUGCUUUAAGAUUGACCUAACCCCCAGAUUCCAUGACCCCAGUGUUCACGUCAGGCUGCUUUCUGCCCUGGAAAACAACAUCUGGUUCUGUUUCAUACUCCUGGGCAAGCUAAAUUCCCAGU